This 468-nucleotide ribosomal RNA is filed under the name uncultured bacterium. Its description in RNAcentral is "partial 16S ribosomal RNA". It matches the Rfam family "Bacterial small subunit ribosomal RNA", at positions 28 to 507 of the family's 1533-position model. The record is from RNAcentral.
GACGAACGCUGGCGGCGUGCUUAACACAUGCAAGUCGAACGGCAAGGCCCUGCUUUCGUGGGGUGCUCGAGUGGCGAACGGGUGAGUAACACGUGUGUAACCUGCUCUUCACUUUGGGAUAACUUCAGGAAACUGGGGCUACUACCGGAUAGGAGACGCUGCUGCAUGGUGGGGGUUGGAACGUUUCGGCGGUUGGGGAUGGAUUCGCGGGUUAUCAGCUUGUUGGUGGGGUAGUGGCUUACCCAGGCAGUGACGGAUCGCCGGCUUGUGAGGGGGACCGGCGACAUGGGGACUGAGAUACGGCCCAGACGCCUACGGUAGGCAACGGGGGGAAGUAUGACACAAUGAGCGGGAGCCUGAGGCGGCGACGCCGCGGUCGUGAUGACGGCCUGCGGGGUAUAAACCGCAGUCGCCUGUUACGAAGCGGGAGUGACGGUAAUGAAAAAAGAAGCACCGGCUAACUACGUG